RNAcentral lists this ribosomal RNA (507 nucleotides) under uncultured bacterium. RNAcentral describes it as "partial 16S ribosomal RNA". It matches the Rfam family "Bacterial small subunit ribosomal RNA", at positions 392 to 912 of the family's 1533-position model. The record is from RNAcentral.
CGACGCCGCGUGGGGGAUGAAUGCCUUCGGGUUGUAAACCCCUUUCACGAGGGAAGAAANUGACGGUACCUCGAGAANAAGCCCCNGGCNAAUACCUGCCNNCANCCGCGGUAAUACNUANGGGGCGAGCGUUGUCCGGAUUUNUUGGGCGUAAAGGGCUCGUAGGCGGCUUGGCAAGUCNGCCGUGAAAACCCCNGGCUCAACUCUGGGACGCCGGUCGAUACUGCCAUGGCUAGGGUCCGGUAGAGGGGAAUGGAAUUCCCGGAGUAGCGGUGAAAUGCGNAAAUAUCGGGAGGAACACCAGUAGCGAAGGCGGUUCCCUGGGCCGGUNCCGACGCUGAGGAGCGAAAGCGUGGGGAGCAAACAGGAUUAAAUACCCUGGUAGUCCACGCCGUAAACGUUGGGUACUAGGCGUGGCGUCUUAUCAACGGAUGCCGUGCUCGAAGCUAACGCGUUAAGUACCCCGCCUGGGGAGUACGGCCGCNAGGCUAAAACUCAAAUGAAUUG